RNAcentral lists this ribosomal RNA (1970 nucleotides) under Streptococcus agalactiae. RNAcentral's name for it is "partial 23S ribosomal RNA". It matches the Rfam family "Bacterial large subunit ribosomal RNA", at positions 1 to 2104 of the family's 2925-position model. Lineage: Bacteria; Bacillati; Bacillota; Bacilli; Lactobacillales; Streptococcaceae. The record is from RNAcentral.
GGUUAAGUUAAUAAGGGCGCACGGUGGAUGCCUUGGCACUAGAAGCCGAAGAAGGACGUGACUAACGACGAAAUGCUUUGGGGAGCUGUAAGUAAGCGCUGAUCCAGAGAUGUCCGAAUGGGGGAACCCACUAGUUAAUGACUAGUAUCCAUAUCUGUUAAGGAUAUGAGAAGGAAGACGCAGUGAACUGAAACAUCUAAGUAGCUGCAGGAAGAGAAAGCAAAAGCGAUUGCCUUAGUAGCGGCGAGCGAAACGGCAGGAGGGCAAACCGAAGUGUUUACACUUCGGGGUUGUAGGACUGCGAUAUAGGAUUAAUCAUUAUAGAAGAAUUACCUGGGAAGGUAAGCCAAAGAGAGUAACAGCCUCGUAUUUAAAAUGAUAGAUUAACCUUAGCAGUAUCCUGAGUACGGCGAGACACGCGAAAUCUCGUCGGAAUCUGGGAGGACCAUCUCCCAACCCUAAAUACUCUCUAGUGACCGAUAGUGAACCAGUACCGUGAGGGAAAGGUGAAAAGCACCCCGGGAGGGGAGUGAAAUAGAACCAGAAACCGUGUGCCUACAACAAGUUCGAGCCCGUUAAUGGGUGAGAGCGUGCCUUUUGUAGAAUGAACCGGCGAGUUACGAUAUGAUGCGAGGUUAAGUUGAAGAGACGGAGCCGUAGGGAAACCGAGUCUUAAUAGGGCGCCAUAGUAUCAUGUUGUAGACCCGAAACCAUGUGACCUACCCAUGAGCAGGUUGAAGGUGAGGUAAAACUCACUGGAGGACCGAACCAGGGCACGUUGAAAAGUGCUUGGAUGACUUGUGGGUAGCGGAGAAAUUCCAAACGAACUUGGAGAUAGCUGGUUCUCUCCGAAAUAGCUUUAGGGCUAGCGUCGAUGUUAAGUCUCUUGGAGGUAGAGCACUGUUUGGGUGAGGGGUCCAUCCCGGAUUACCAAUCUCAGAUAAACUCCGAAUGCCAACGAGAUAUAAUCGGCAGUCAGACUGCGAGUGCUAAGAUCCGUAGUCGAAAGGGAAACAGCCCAGACCACCAGCUAAGGUCCCAAAAUAUAUGUUAAGUGGAAAAGGAUGUGGGGUUGCACAGACAACUAGGGACACAAAAGUGUCAUGGUAGGAGAGCGUUCUAUGUGUGAAGAAGGUGUACCGUGAGGAGCGCUGGAACGCAUAGAAGUGAGAAUGCCGGUAUGAGUAGCGCAAGACAGGUGAGAAUCCUGUCCACCGUAAGACUAAGGUUUCCAGGGGAAGGCUCGUCCGCCCUGGGUUAGUCGGGACCUAAGGAGAGACCGAAAGGUGUAUCCGAUGGACAACAGGUUGAUAUUCCUGUACUAGAGUAUAUAGUGAUGGAGGGACGCAGUAGGCUAACUAAACCAGACGAUUGGAAGUGUCUGGUCAAACAGUGAGGUGUGAUAUGAGUCAAAUGCUUAUAUCUUUAACAUUGAGCUGUGACGAGGAGCGAAGUUUAGUAGCGAAGUUAGUGAUGUCACACUGCCAAGAAAAGCUUCUAGCGAUACAUAUACUCUACCCGUACCGCAAACCGACACAGGUAGUCGAGGCGAGUAGCCUCAGGUGAGCGAGAGAACUCUCGUUAAGGAACUCGGCAAAAUGGCCCCGUAACUUCGGGAGAAGGGGCGCUGAUUUUAGAUCAGCCGCAGUGAAUAGGCCCAAGCAACUGUUUAUCAAAAACACAGCUCUCUGCUAAAUCGUAAGAUGAUGUAUAGGGGGUGACGCCUGCCCGGUGCUGGAAGGUUAAGAGGAGUGCUUAGCGUAAGCGAAGGUAUGAAUUGAAGCCCCAGUAAACGGCGGCCGUAACUAUAACGGUCCUAAGGUAGCGAAAUUCCUUGUCGGGUAAGUUCCGACCCGCACGAAAGGCGUAAUGAUUUGGGCACUGUCUCAACGAGAGACUCGGUGAAAUUUUAGUACCUGUGAAGAUGCAGGUUACCCGCGACAGGACGGAAAGACCCCAUGGAGCUUUAC